UUGACAAGUGAUAGUUCGUCGUCAUGUCUUUUCAUUGGAAUUUUCAUGUCUUCUCAGCACACUUGUAAGUUUUGGCAUGUUAAAGUAUUUUGUGUAAUUGUUACAUCAUGAUGAAAACAUGUGCUACAUGUGUGUUGAUGGAAAGCGAUCUAUUUGCAUUUAGACUGACUGAGAGCUAUCAGUUUUUCCUUUCGAGAAAAAUAAAAGGCCAACACCAUGGUUAAAAAGGGUUUUUGUUAACCAUGCUCAAAGUUGCCACUACUCGUGUAUCAUCCAAGCUAUCAUGUGUGUUGAUGGAAAGCGAUCUGUAGAUUUGCAUUUAGACUGACUGAGAGCUAUCAGUUUGUCCUUUCGAGAAAAAUAAAAGGCCAACACCAUGGUUAAAAAAGGGUUUUUGUUAACCAUGCUCAAAGUUGCCACUACUCGUGUAUCAUCCAAGCUAUCAUGUGUGUUGAUGGAAAGCGAUCUAUUUGCAAUUAGACUGACUGAAAGCUAUCAGAUUGUCCUUUCGAGAAAAAUAAAAGGCCAACACCAUGGUCAAAAAAGGGUUUUUGUUGACCCCUUGGUUGCUACACAUUCAAUCCUCAUAUCCUUGGAAUGGACCCACUCUUAUUUAGAGGUUAAUCCCUCGCCCCUACUCAAUAGACGGAAUUAAUUGGCCGUGCAUCACCAACUUAUAUCGGAUGGGCGCUCCGUAUUGAAAACUAUUGCUAAAUUUCAUAAAGCUUUACAUAAUUUUGCUUGGACAAUCAUGUGUAAGUGGUGUAUAAAAUGAAAUUCGUGUUGAAUACAAAUUUUAAAUCGCGUGA
Long non-coding RNA from Daphnia magna, 809 nucleotides. RefSeq lists it as uncharacterized. The transcript has 5 exons. The record is from RefSeq and is a predicted model, not a curated record. NCBI's taxonomy places the organism in Eukaryota, Metazoa, Arthropoda, Branchiopoda, Diplostraca, Daphniidae.